RNAcentral lists this ribosomal RNA (533 nucleotides) under Bacillus sp. VLP 2. RNAcentral's name for it is "bacterial SSU rRNA". It matches the Rfam family "Bacterial small subunit ribosomal RNA", at positions 77 to 594 of the family's 1533-position model. Lineage: Bacteria; Bacillati; Bacillota; Bacilli; Caryophanales; Bacillaceae. The record is from RNAcentral.
AGCUUGCUUCUAUGACGUUAGCGGCGGACGGGUGAGUAAAAUGUGGGCAACCUGCCUGUAAGACUGGGAUAACUUCGGGAAAUCGAAGCUAAUACCGGAUAGGAUCUUCUCCUUCAUGGGAGAUGAUUGAAAGAUGGUUUCGGCUAUCACUUACAGAUGGGCCCGCGGUGCAUUAGCUAGUUGGUGAGGUAACGGCUCACCAAGGCAACGAUGCAUAGCCGACCUGAGAGGGUGAUCGGCCACACUGGGACUGAGACACGGCCCAGACUCCUACGGGAGGCAGCAGUAGGGAAUCUUCCGCAAUGGACGAAAGUCUGACGGACCAACGCCGCGUGAGUGAUGAAGGCUUUCGGGUCGUAAAACUCUGUUGUUAGGGAAGAACAAGUACGAAAGUAACUGCUCGUACCUUGACGGUACCUAACCAGAAAGCCACGGCUAACUACGUGCCAGCAGCCGCGGUAAUACGUAGGUGGCAAGCGUUAUCCGGAAUUAUUGGGCGUAAAGCGCGCGCAGGCGGUUUCUUAAGUCUGAUG